GACGAACCUUUCUAACUUUUUUCUGCCUCCCCGGGCUUAACGGGUGCGUAGGCGGGUUGUCCAGUCUGGGGUGAAAUCCCACGGCUCAACCGUGGAAUUGCCUCAGAUACUGACGACCUCGAGGGAGGUAGGGGCGAGCGGAACUGUGGGUGGAGCGGUGAAAUGCGUUGAUAUCCACAGGAACUCCGGUGGCGAAGGCGGCUCGCUGGACCUCUUCUGACGCUGAGGCACGAAAGCUAGGGGAGCAAACGGG
RNAcentral lists this ribosomal RNA (253 nucleotides) under uncultured bacterium. RNAcentral's name for it is "partial 16S ribosomal RNA". It matches the Rfam family "Bacterial small subunit ribosomal RNA", at positions 524 to 776 of the family's 1533-position model. The record is from RNAcentral.